RNAcentral lists this ribosomal RNA (788 nucleotides) under uncultured Spartobacteria bacterium. RNAcentral describes it as "bacterial SSU rRNA". It matches the Rfam family "Bacterial small subunit ribosomal RNA", at positions 541 to 1318 of the family's 1533-position model. Lineage: Bacteria; Pseudomonadati; Verrucomicrobiota; Spartobacteria. The record is from RNAcentral.
UUGUUCGGAUUCAUUGGGGCGUAAAGGGUGCGUGGGCCGGCGCGGUAAGUCGGGUUUUGAAAUUUCGGAGCUUAACUGGGAAACUGCAUUCGAUACUGCCGUGCCUGAGGACUGGAGAGGAGACUGGAAUUUACGGUGUAGCAGUGAAAUGCGUAGAGAUCGUAAGGAAGACCAGUGGCGAAGGCGGGUCUCUGGACAGUUCCUGACGCUGAGGCACGAAGGCCAGGGGAGCAAACGGGAUUAGAUACCCCGGUAGUCCUGGCAGUAAACGGUGCACGUUUGUGUGGGAGGAUUCGACCCCUUCUGCGCCGGAGCUAACGCGUUAAACGUGCCGCCUGGGGAGUACGGUCGCAAGAUUAAAACUCAAAGAAAUUGACGGGGGCCCGCACAAGCGGUGGAGUAUGUGGCUUAAUUCGAUGCAACGCGAAGAACCUUACCUGGCCUUGACAUGCAUCUCUUAGCUGGUGAAAGCCAGUGAGUCCCGAAAGGGACAAUUUGCACAGGUGCUGCAUGGCUGUCGUCAGCUCGUGUCGUGAGAUGUUGGGUUAAGUCCCGCAACGAGCGCAACCCCUGUGAACUGUUGCCACCAAUCCGCGAGGAUUGAGCACUCUGUUCAGACUGCCCUGUGAAACGGGGAGGAAGGUGGGGACGACGUCAGGUCAGUAUGGCCCUUACGGCCAGGGCUGCACACGUACUACAAUGCCCAGUACAGAACGAUCCAAGACCGCGAGGUGGAGGAAAUCCAGUAAAACUGGGCCCAGUUCGGAUUGGAGUCUGCAACUCGACUC